GCCCCUGUAGCGCAAUGGACAGCGAGUUGGACUUCUAAUCCAAAGGUCGUGGGUUCGAAUCCCACAUGGGAUA
Molecule: transfer RNA, 73 nt
Filed under: Trichonephila clavata
Lineage: Eukaryota; Metazoa; Arthropoda; Arachnida; Araneae; Nephilidae
Rfam family: tRNA
About the family: Transfer RNA (tRNA) molecules are approximately 80 nucleotides in length. Their secondary structure includes four short double-helical elements and three loops (D, anti-codon, and T loops).
Source: Rfam by way of RNAcentral